UCUUCCGAUCUCGGAUGCCUUGGCAUGGAGAGGCGAUGAAAGACGUGGGGUAGCUGCGAUAAGCUCCGGUGAGGUGCUAACCAACCUUUGACCCGGAGAUUUCUGAAUGGGGCAACCCGGCCGCGGUCAUGCGCGGUCACUUCGUGGUGAAUGUAUAGUCACGAAGGGCAAACCCGGAGAACUGAAACAUCUCAGUACCCGGAGGAAAGGAAAGAAACCUCGACUCCCCAAGUAGCGGCGAGCGAACGGGGAGCAGCCCAAACCGGCGAUUCCCAACGGCUGCAGAGCCUAUGUGUCGUCGGGGUUGUGGGACCCUCGGGCCGAAGUCUGCGAUUCGGCAGGAAGUUAUAAAGUCGUCGUCGAGCUCAAUCGUCUGGAAAGGCGGACCAGAGAGGGUGACAGUCCCGUGAGCGAAGAUGUGCGGCCUUCCCGAGAGGAUCCCGAGUAGGACCAGACACGUGAAACCUGGUCUGAAUCCGGGGGGACCACCCCCCAAGGCUAAGUACUACUCCAUGACCGAUAGCGAACCAGUAGCGUGAGUGAAAGGUGAAAAGGACCCCUGCUAGGGGAGUGAAAGAGAACCUGAAACCAUGCACCUACAAGCGGGGAGAGGGCUAUGCUUGCAUGCCUGAUCCCGUGCCUUUUGUAUAAUGAUCCGGCGAGUUACUGUCGUUUGCUUGGUUAAGUCCUUCCGGGACGGAGCCCGAGCGAAAGCGAGUGCGAAUAGCGCGUUGUCUUCGGACAGGUAAGCGGCAGUAGACGCGAAAGCGUGUGAUCUAUCCAUGGGCAGGUUGAAACGGGGGUAAAACCCUGUGGAGGACCGAACCCACUUAUGUUGAAAAAUGAGGGGAUGACCUGUGGAUAGGAGUGAAAGUCUAAUCAAACUCGCAGAUAUCUCGUUCUCCCCGAAACAGCUUUAGGGCUGGCCUCGGGUGAUUGCAUGAACGGGGGUAGAGAGACUGAUUGGGUCUGGGGGGCCACCAGCCUACCCUUCCCGACCAAACUCCGAAUACCGUUCAUGUCGACCCCGGGAGUUAGACUAUGGGGGAUAAGCUCCAUGGUCGAGAGGGAAACAGCCCGGACCGUCGGCUAAGGUCCCCAAGAACAGACUAAGUGCUUAAGGAAGUGGGAGUGCCCAGACAGCCAGGAUGUUGGCUUAGAAGCAGCCACCAUUUAAAAAGUGCGUAACAGCUUACUGGUCGAGCACUUCCGCGCCGAAAAUGAACGGGACUCAAGUCUGUCACCGAAGCCGCGGAUGUCCGAUCCAUGGGUGAUCGGGCGUGGUAGGGGAGCGUUGCACGCAAGGCCGAAGCCGUACCGUAAGGAGCGGUGGACGACGUGCAAGUGAGAAUGCCGGAACGAGUAGCGAUAAAACAGGUGAGAAUCCUGUUCGCCGUAAGCCUAAGGUUUCCUGGGGCAGGCAAUUCCGCCCAGGGUUAGUCGGAUCCUAAGGCGAGGCCGAAAGGCGUAGUCGAUGGGCAGCAGGCGAAUAUUCCUGCACCACUCUAUUCCAGUGAAGGAGGGACGGGGAUUCAAAGGUCUACCCACGGUCGGAUGUGUGGGGUCAAGCCCGAGCGAGGGACUCAGGAAAAUCCGGGUCCGGAAUCGCAGAGGUGACGACGAGUCCAAUUGCGGACGAAGUGAUCGGCGGGUCCUCCGGGAAAAGCUUCUAAGCGUUUUGACGAAUAGGGUGUCCGUACUAAAACUGACACAGGUAGGCGGGGUGAGUAUCCCAAGGCGCUCGAGAGAAAUCAGGUCAAGGAACUCGGCAAAUUGAGUCCGUAACUUCGGGAUAAGGACUGCCCGGGACGGUGAAGAGGUUUACCCUCGGAGCCGACGCUCGGGUCGCAGAGAAAUGGCUCUGGCGACUGUUUAUUAAAAACACAGGUCUGUGCCAAGGCCGAAAGCCGACGUAUACAGACUGACACCUGCCCAAUGCCGGUAGGUUAAGAGGACGGGUCAGCCUUCGGGCGAAGCUCAUAAUCGAAGCCCCGGUGAAUGGCGGCCGUAACUAUGACGGUCCUAAGGUAGCGAAAUUCCUUGUCGGGUAAGUUCCGACCCGCAUGAAUGGUGUAACGACUGGAGCACUGUCUCGACCUGGUACUCGGCGAAACUGAAGUCGAGGUGAAGAUGCCUCGUACCCGCAGCUAGACGGAAAGACCCUAUGAACCUUUACUGCAGCGUAAUAUUGGCUUUAGGUAUGGCAUGUGUAGCAUAGGUGGGAGACUGUGAUGGUCGGGCGCCAGCCCGGUCGGAGUCGCCGUUGAAAUACCACUCUUGUCAUGCUUGAAUUCUAACCGGGCGCCAUGAAUCUGGGCUCGGAACAGUGUUACGUGGGCAGUUUGACUGGGGCGGUCUCCUCCCAAAGAGUAACGGAGGAGCGCAAAGGUGCACUCAGCACGGUUGGCAAUCGUGCGUAGAGCGUAAAGGUAGAAGUGUGCUUGACUGUGAGAGAAACACCUCGAGCAGAUGCGAAAGCAGGCCUUAGUGAUCCGACAGUAGCGUGUGGAAGCGCUGUCGCUCAACGGAUAAAAGGUACUCUAAGGAUAACAGGCUGAUCUCCCCCAAGAGUCCAUAUCGACGGGGAGGUUUGGCACCUCGAUGUCGGCUCAUCACAUCCUGGGGCUGAAGAAGGUCCCAAGGGUUCGGCUGUUCGCCGAUUAAAGUGGUACGCGAGCUGGGUUUAGACCGGCGUGAGCCAGGUUGGUCCCUAUCUACUGUGGGCGCAGGAGACUUGAGAAGAUUUGCCCUUAGUACGAGAGGAUUGGGGCGGACGGACCUCUGGUGUUCCAGUUGUCGCGCCAGCGGCACUGCUGGGUAGCUAUGUCCGGAACGGAUAAGCGCUGAAAGCAUCUAAGCGCGAAGCCUACUUCAAGAUUAGGUCUCCCGGGGCUUCGGCCCCUGAAGGACCCUCGAAGACGACGAGGUUGA
Molecule: ribosomal RNA, 2931 nt
Filed under: seawater metagenome
Description: bacterial LSU rRNA
Rfam family: Bacterial large subunit ribosomal RNA
Source: RNAcentral